UGCGGAGGGAGCUAGCGUUGUUCGGAAUUACUGGGCGUAAAGGGCGCGCAGGCGGCUUUGUUUGUCAGGCGUGAAAGCCCCGGGCUUAACCUGGGAACUGCAUUUGGGACUGCAAGGCUGGAGUACGGCAGAGGGAGGUGGAAUUCCACGUGUAGCAGUGAAAUGCGUAGAGAUGUGGAGGAACACCGAUGGCGAAGGCGGGGUCUCUGGGCAGGUAACUGACGCUGAGGAGCGAAAGCGUGGGGAGCGAACAGG
Molecule: ribosomal RNA, 255 nt
Filed under: uncultured bacterium
Lineage: Bacteria
Description: partial 16S ribosomal RNA
Rfam family: Bacterial small subunit ribosomal RNA
Source: RNAcentral